RNAcentral lists this unclassified non-coding RNA (178 nucleotides) under uncultured Phomopsis. Its description in RNAcentral is "sequence contains ITS2". The record is from RNAcentral. Lineage: Eukaryota; Fungi; Ascomycota; Sordariomycetes; Diaporthales; Cytosporaceae.
CUAUACCUCAAGCCCGGCUUGUAUGUUGGGCUUACUGUCUUGUUGGACAGUGGCCCGAAAGGCAGAGGCAGGGUCGUAGUCCGGUCUUUUCAAUGCGUAUGGGGCAUUGUCACCCGCUUGAAGGCUGGCCGAUCCUCUAUGCCUAUUGUGGAUUUUAUCCACCAUCAAUUUUUUCUGA